This 497-nucleotide ribosomal RNA is filed under the name uncultured bacterium. RNAcentral describes it as "partial 16S ribosomal RNA". It matches the Rfam family "Bacterial small subunit ribosomal RNA", at positions 28 to 507 of the family's 1533-position model. The record is from RNAcentral.
GAUGAACGCUAGCGGCGUGCCUAAUACAUGCAAGUCGAGCGAACAGAUAAGGAGCUUGCUCCUUUGACGUUAGCGGCGGACGGGUGAGUAACACGUGGGUAACCUACCUAUAAGACUGGAAUAACUCCGGGAAACCGGGGCUAAUGCCGGAUAACAUUUAGAACCGCAUGGUUCUAAAGUGAAAGAUGGUUUUGCUAUCACUUAUAGAUGGACCCGCGCCGUAUUAGCUAGUUGGUAAGGUAACGGCUUACCAAGGCAACGAUACGUAGCCGACCUGAGAGGGUGAUCGGCCACACUGGAACUGAGACACGGUCCAGACUCCUACGGGAGGCAGCAGUAGGGAAUCUUCCGCAAUGGGCGAAAGCCUGACGGAGCAACGCCGCGUGAGUGAUGAAGGUCUUCGGAUCGUAAAACUCUGUUAUUAGGGAAGAACAAAUGUGUAAGUAACUGUGCACGUCUUGACGGUACCUAAUCAGAAAGCCACGGCUAACUACGUG